Molecule: long non-coding RNA, 770 nt
Filed under: Anser brachyrhynchus (Pink-footed goose)
Lineage: Eukaryota; Metazoa; Chordata; Aves; Anseriformes; Anatidae
Description: lncRNA (ENSABRG00000001619.1)
Source: RNAcentral
AAGGGCAAGGGCAUGUAUCUCAUUCCAUAAACUCCUCUGAGAUGAAGGUAAGCCCAUGAGGCCAGGGGUUAAAAAGACCCAGACCAGGCUGGAACUAAUAAUGUGGAGGAAUACGUGAACAACAGGAUCCUGGUGGCUCUUCGGGAGAGGUCAAGAUGGUUUGCUGGUGAUGGACAAUGUUUGUUAUUACAUUGGUGCCCGGCGUGAGGGGCUGUGCCGAGACAAGCCCCAUCCCUAAACCUACUAAUAGCUCGGAGGGAUAAUCUGUCCUGGCCUGUCAAGCCUGGCGCUGCCCAUCGGUUCCUUCAGCAUGGUUGACAAAGUGCUUUAUUUAUGCACCAUGACCAACACGGGGACUGGUCAGUCCAUCGCUCACUCCAGCAGCACAAGCAGGAGAGUUCCUUCUGACAGAGGGAUUGAUGGCCUCCAGCUGGAGGUCUCCGCAAGCUGCAGGAUUGAUCUCCCUCUCCCAGAAAACAAGGUUUGUUGAUUGAACGGUGGUGCUUUUGCAAACGUUGUUCGCUGGGUCCCAGCCAUCUGUUAAUGCGUUCAAGGUUACCCGGGGGCUGACUCAUGCUCACGUCUCUCUCCUCAAAUCCUGCUCUUCCCCGUUUUAUACUUCCUUGGAAAGAGACGCGUGCCUUGGAACUUCUGGUCAAAACUGAGAAGCUGAAGAGUGCUCCCAUCCCGUCCGGUCACAUCCUGUCCUGUGCUGUCCGUUGCCAUCCCUGCUGCCCCAUGCCCACGAGCUGCAGUCCCACAGGGGCAUG